CCUACGGGAGGCAGCAGUGAGGAAUAUUGGUCAAUGGACGAGAGUCUGAACCAGCCAAGUAGCGUGAAGGAUGACUGCCCUAUGGGUUGUAAACUUCUUUUAUAUGGGAAUAAAACGUUCCACGUGUGGGAUUUUGUAUGUACCAUAUGAAUAAGGAUCGGCUAACUCCGUGCCAGCAGCCGCGGUAAUACGGAGGAUCCGAGCGUUAUCCGGAUUUAUUGGGUUUAAAGGGAGCGUAGGUGGAUUGUUAAGUCAGUUGUGAAAGUUUGCGGCUCAACCGUAAAAUUGCAGUUGAAACUGGCAGUCUUGAGUACAGUAGAGGUGGGCGGAAUUCGGGGUGUAGCGGUGAAAUGCUUAGAUAUCACGAAGAACUCCGAUUGCGAAGGCAGUUCACUGGACUGCAACUGACACUGAGGCUCGAAAGUGUGGGUAUCAAACAGGAUUAGAUACCCCUGUAGUC
RNAcentral lists this ribosomal RNA (460 nucleotides) under uncultured bacterium. RNAcentral's name for it is "partial 16S ribosomal RNA". It matches the Rfam family "Bacterial small subunit ribosomal RNA", at positions 338 to 795 of the family's 1533-position model. The record is from RNAcentral.